RNAcentral lists this ribosomal RNA (468 nucleotides) under uncultured bacterium. RNAcentral's name for it is "partial 16S ribosomal RNA". It matches the Rfam family "Bacterial small subunit ribosomal RNA", at positions 28 to 507 of the family's 1533-position model. The record is from RNAcentral.
GACGAACGCUGGCGGCGUGCUUAACACAUGCAAGUCGAACGGAAAGGCCCUGCUUUUGUGGGGUGCUCGAGUGGCGAACGGGUGAGUAACACGUGAGUAACCUGCCCUUGACUUUGGGAUAACUUCAGGAAACUGGGGCUAAUACCGGAUAGGAGCUCCUGCUGCAUGGUGGGGGUUGGAAAGUUUCGGCGGUUGGGGAUGGACUCGCGGCUUAUCAGCUUGUUGGUGGGGUAGUGGCUUACCAAGGCUUUGACGGGUAGCCGGCCUGAGAGGGUGACCGGCCACAUUGGGACUGAGAGACGGCCCAGAAGCCUACGGGAGGCAGCAGUGGAGAAUAUUGCACAAUGGGCGGAAGCCUGAUGCAGCAACGCCGCGUGCGGGAUGACGGCCUUCGGGUUGUAAACCGCUGUCGACUGUGACGAAGCGUGAGUGACGGUAAUGGGUAAAGAAGCACCGGCUAACUACGUG